RNAcentral lists this ribosomal RNA (504 nucleotides) under uncultured bacterium. Its description in RNAcentral is "partial 16S ribosomal RNA". It matches the Rfam family "Bacterial small subunit ribosomal RNA", at positions 30 to 523 of the family's 1533-position model. The record is from RNAcentral.
AUUGAACGCUGGCGGCAGGCCUAACACAUGCAAGUCGAACGGUAGCACAGAGAGCUUGCUCUCGGGUGACGAGUGGCGGACGGGUGAGUAAUGUCUGGGAAACUGCCUGAUGGAGGGGGAUAACUACUGGAAACGGUAGCUAAUACCGCAUAAAGUCGCAAGACCAAAGAGGGGGACCUUCGGGCCUCUUGCCAUAGGACGUGGCCAGAUGGGAUUAGCUAGUAGGUGGGGUAACGGCGCGACUAGGCGACGAUCCCUAGCUGGUCUGAGAGGAUGACCAGCCACACUGGAACUGAGACACGGUCCAGACUCCUACGGGAGGCAGCAGUGGGGAAUAUUGCACAAUGGGCGCAAGCCUGAUGCAGCCAUGCCGCGUGUAUGAAGAAGGCCUUCGGGUUGUAAAGUACUUUCAGCGGGGAGGAAGGGAGUAAAGUUAAUACCUUUGCUCAUUGACGUUACCCGCAGAAGAAGCACCGGCUAACUCCGUGCCAGCAGCCGCCGUAA